UCAGAUAACUCAUAGCUAAUGGUUGCUACACUAUCUAACACCGGACGGAUUCGAGGUGUUACAUUUACCACAAGUUGUUCCAUGCCGGCAUUCAGGGCUUGCUUGAAGGUAUUGCUCAUAUCACCCAAGUCUGACAAGCAAGAUUUUGCCUUUUCUCUAUCUGCUGGUGCAGGAAACACCUCUGCGCACUGCUCUUCAAUCUCAUGUUUUAGCUUCACUACAUACUCACUGCUCACAUCCAUGUUAUUCAAUGCAGUUGCAAUCUCUGUCCCAGUCCUGUGAACACCAACACCACCCAAAAACAGCUUCAAGGUUUGGUUCUCUCAUUUUCUGUUGCAAAGCUUCAUUGUAUUCAUUACUCAACAAACUACUAGCACCACUCAAGACUGCAAUUACAGAGCUAAUGUUUGAUGUGGAUAUUGCCCUUCUGAAGCAACUCUGCAAAACAUAAAACACAUCGUCUACCAUAGAAGUGGUAAGGCUAUCAGGUACAUGCUCAUCUAUCAUAAUUGCCUUUCUUACAUUUUCAAUCAUGAAGAAUCCCUCCAAAAUCACAUAAAACCCAGUAAUAUCUUGAAUUACUUUGCUAAAAGUCCCACUCCUAAACGACUUGGUGGCUCGUGGCACUAAUUCAGGAUCAACAGAACUCAACCCUUUGAUUUUUGAAACCAUAAAUUCUGUGUAAUCCUCACCUAAUUGCAUCAGUGACAGUAUUUCUUCUAAAUACAACUCAACCUCUCUCGGGUCAGGCCCUUCAGGAGCUCCAAC
Molecule: unclassified non-coding RNA, 768 nt
Filed under: Hevea brasiliensis (rubber tree)
Lineage: Eukaryota; Viridiplantae; Streptophyta; Magnoliopsida; Malpighiales; Euphorbiaceae
Source: RNAcentral